UAUUAGAGUAGUUGUGUUCAGAAAGAGUUCAGUGGAAGGUGUUCUGGAGAACUCACAGCGUUUCUUCUGUGGCAUCGCUGUUAUUUUGUUUCCUGAUCUGAGGGCCGCGGGUCCCUUAAUCAGGUCAAGUGCGUGCUUCAUUACACUCGCUGGUAGCUGCCAUGUAAAGCACCAAAGCUCAUCUCAGAAGACCUGACCCUGGAGAGCUCACCGUAACGACUUCUGCACUGACGGCUGGACUAACCAUCGGCCGGGAUGUGAAUUUUAGUCCGCCAGUUAUUUGGUUCGGCGCUGAUGUUCCACGGGAUGCUCAGAUGUGCAGCGUGAGGUCUGUCAGGACGUGUUAGAGGGGUUCUGAAGACUCAAAGAGAGCAGAGCAGUCACUGAGCUGGAUUGAGAGAGACAGAAGGAGAACGAGAAGCUGAUGGCAUCUUCAGAUCUGCUCCACACUGAGCGUCUGCAUGUCUUCACUGAUGGAUCACAAGUGAGGCGAUGUGGUGUAGUGGUCAACCAUCUGGGUCAGGGACUCCAGGACGUCUAAAUAAGACUGAACGUGUCAUCAGAAAAAUAUCUAUAUACCUUGCUUUGACAAUGUUAUUAAAAACCAGAUAACUCUGAACAAACUGUUAACGUUACUGGAAGAAUAUUAAUUCAUAACCUUCUGAAAACAUUCUCUAUUUGUUGGAUAGCCAACCUACAAACACUCUCUUUCCUUAAAUCGAACUAAACUACCAAACUCAUGUUUGUUGCAUGCAAGAACAGUGU
Carassius gibelio (silver crucian carp) is the source of this 765-nucleotide long non-coding RNA. RefSeq lists it as uncharacterized. NCBI's taxonomy places the organism in Eukaryota, Metazoa, Chordata, Actinopteri, Cypriniformes, Cyprinidae. The record is from RefSeq and is a predicted model, not a curated record. The transcript is spliced from 3 exons.